CACGUAGGGUCCGAGCGUUGUCCGGAUUUAUUGGGCGUAAAGGGCCUGUAGGCGGCUUGAUAAGUCGGGUGUGAAAACUCCGGGCUCAACCCGGAGACGCCACCCGAUACUGUUAUGGCUUGAGUCUGGUAGGGGAGUGCGGAAUUCCUGGUGUAGCGGUGAAAUGCAUAGAUAUCAGGAGGAACACCGGUGGCGAAGGCGGCACUCUGGGCCAGUACUGACGCUGAGAGGCGAAAGCGUGGGUAGCAAACAGG
Molecule: ribosomal RNA, 254 nt
Filed under: uncultured bacterium
Lineage: Bacteria
Description: partial 16S ribosomal RNA
Rfam family: Bacterial small subunit ribosomal RNA
Source: RNAcentral